RNAcentral lists this long non-coding RNA (529 nucleotides) under Malus domestica (apple). RNAcentral describes it as "long non-coding RNA (MDOM_LNC005769)". The record is from RNAcentral. Lineage: Eukaryota; Viridiplantae; Streptophyta; Magnoliopsida; Rosales; Rosaceae.
UAGUGGGAGUAUUAUAUACAACUAAAACAAUCAUAUGGACCAAUAGUUGUAAUAGGACCAAAAUUGUUUUAAUAAGAUUAAAAUGUAUGUUAUAUAUAUGAUGAGACCUAAAACCCUCAACCAAACCAUUAUUAAGUUGACAAGCGUGAGAGUGCUUUGAACACUCUUUCGUGGCCUUCCACUGUGGUAGGCUCCAAUCGUUUAUGACUUGUACACCGCCUUCACCCUAUCAUGGGGGAGUGCAAAGUGCAUGCUUAUACUCAGGAGGAGUCUAUAUGCAUACUUGAUGAUGUGAGACGUAGGCAACGAGAAUGAUCAACAUCAUAUCAUUGUGAGGUUGUUCUUGAACCCCUACCCGAACUUGCAUGGUGGGAAUGACUUAACUAAGUGCAAUGGAGCCAACAUCAUAUCAUUGUGAGGUAACAUUCUCUAGAGGCCAAAUAAGAUGGGUACUUGCAAGAGAUGUAAAUGAGUAAGCGUACUCUCUCAUUAUUAUUAAUGCUAGCCAACAUCAUAUCAUUGUGAGGUG